Molecule: transfer-messenger RNA, 316 nt
Filed under: Bifidobacterium longum
Lineage: Bacteria; Bacillati; Actinomycetota; Actinomycetes; Bifidobacteriales; Bifidobacteriaceae
Description: partial transfer-messenger RNA
Rfam family: transfer-messenger RNA
About the family: Bacterial tmRNA, also known as 10Sa RNA or SsrA, is named for its dual tRNA and mRNA-like properties. Its role is to liberate the mRNA from a stalled ribosome.
Source: RNAcentral
GCAAAAGAAUAAGUGCUAAAUCUAACCGCACUGAGUUCGCUCUCGCUGCCUGAUUUUUAGUCAGGAUUAACCAGUGAGCAGCCGCUCCGUUCACUCCUCCUCGUCUUUGGGAGGAUGCUGAGCGUCGUUUAGAAGACUUGCUGAUGCAGUUGAGCCUCAGGGCUGCAUCGGGACUUUAACUGCGGAUAUGCUCGCCAUCAGUUGUCUGCGACAUCGAUGGGGGCAGAAAAAUCGCCAACUUGGCCAGCAGACUACGCACGUAGAAGACUGUGGGCUCGGUCAUCGGACCGGGGUUCAAUUCCCCGCGCCUCCACCA